RNAcentral lists this transfer RNA (370 nucleotides) under Microcystis aeruginosa AICB618. RNAcentral describes it as "partial 16S-23S ribosomal RNA intergenic spacer". The stretch from base 138 to 211 matches the Rfam family "tRNA". The record is from RNAcentral. Lineage: Bacteria; Bacillati; Cyanobacteriota; Cyanophyceae; Chroococcales; Microcystaceae.
UUAAAGGGAGACCUAAUUCAGGUAGGAGACGAAAAAAAAGUAGUCGCUACCAAGAAUCAAUCCCAAAAGGUCGGAGCGAGGCGAAAUUGGCUUUCAAACUAGGUUCUGGGUUCACACAAGACCUGAAUCAGGAACAAGGGCUAUUAGCUCAGGUGGUUAGAGCGCACCCCUGAUAAGGGUGAGGUCCCUGGUUCGAGUCCAGGAUGGCCCACCUGUACAGGUGGCAAAAAGAAAGAAAAGAAGCGAGGAAUCAGCACCUUAUCUUACUGACAUAGUAAGAGAGAAUGCUGGCUCUGAGUUCAGAGUCCAGAGGAACCUUGAAAACUGCAUAGAGCUAGGUGAAAAAGCCAAAAAAGAAGACCGCAAGUCA